This 72-nucleotide transfer RNA is filed under the name Heliconius melpomene (postman butterfly). Its description in RNAcentral is "tRNA HMEL006386". It matches the Rfam family "tRNA". From Rfam's summary of the family: Transfer RNA (tRNA) molecules are approximately 80 nucleotides in length. The record is from RNAcentral. Lineage: Eukaryota; Metazoa; Arthropoda; Insecta; Lepidoptera; Nymphalidae.
CGCGUAGCUAGCUUAGUGGUUAGAGCGCCUGGUCGGUUUGCUUGAGGCGCGGGUUCGAGUCCCGCUACGUUA